This 450-nucleotide ribosomal RNA is filed under the name uncultured bacterium. Its description in RNAcentral is "bacterial SSU rRNA". It matches the Rfam family "Bacterial small subunit ribosomal RNA", at positions 28 to 506 of the family's 1533-position model. The record is from RNAcentral.
GAUGAACGCUGGCGGCGUGCCUAACACAUGCAAGUCGAGGGAUUCUCUUCGGAGAAGAGCGGCGAACGGGUGAGUAACGCGUGGGUAACCUGCCCUGUACACACGGAUAACAUACCGAAAGGUAUGCUAAUACGAGAUAAUAUGCUUUUAUCGCAUGGUAGAAGUAUCAAAGCUUUUGCGGUACAGGAUGGACCCGCGUCUGAUUAGCUAGUUGGUAAGGUAACGGCUUACCAAGGCGACGAUCAGUAGCCGACCUGAGAGGGUGAUCGGCCACAUUGGAACUGAGACACGGUCCAAACUCCUACGGAGGCAGCAGUGGGGAAUAUUGCACAAUGGGCGAAAGCCUGAUGCAGCAACGCCGCGUGAGCGAUGAAGGCCUCGGGUCGUAAAGCUCUGUCCUCAAGGAAGAGUAAUGACGGUACUUGAGGAGGAAGCCCCGGCUAACUACGU